Molecule: transfer RNA, 72 nt
Filed under: Ovis aries (sheep)
Lineage: Eukaryota; Metazoa; Chordata; Mammalia; Artiodactyla; Bovidae
Rfam family: tRNA
About the family: Transfer RNA (tRNA) molecules are approximately 80 nucleotides in length. Their secondary structure includes four short double-helical elements and three loops (D, anti-codon, and T loops).
Source: Rfam by way of RNAcentral
UCCCUAGUGGCUCAGUUGGUAAAGAAUCUGCCUGCAAUGCGGGAGACCCGGGUUCAAUCCCUGGGUUGGGAA